RNAcentral lists this unclassified non-coding RNA (218 nucleotides) under Hevea brasiliensis (rubber tree). Lineage: Eukaryota; Viridiplantae; Streptophyta; Magnoliopsida; Malpighiales; Euphorbiaceae. The record is from RNAcentral.
GCUUAUCAUUUUAGGAGGGAGGGAGGGAGGCCAUUAAAGUACAAAGGGAGAAAAUGACUUCCAGAAGGAAAAUGCUUCUGUUACGGUCACUGCCAGAUUUGUGUCUUUUAUCAUCUAUUUUACUUAACUUUCCAUUUCCUAACAAAAAGAAUAGUGGAAGUCCCACAAUUAAGAACUUUAAAAGAAGCAUAGCUCCCACCUUUUGAAUUAACGUGACG